AAUUACAGAAGUAAAAAAUGAUCCUAAUUGAUAUAGCUGCUGAUUUGGAGAUUCCAAUGAGACGUUGUUUCCCAAACCAAAUAGACUGGCUCAACUACUUGGUUUGGUUACUUUUACCCCCUCCUCCCCGAAUACACACUUGGUUUGUCGCCAUCGGGUAGGGAAGCUCAUCUGAUGUGUACCGUCUUCCACGACAGUUUUGGAUAGAAAUCUACAAAUUUGUAAUCUAGUAAAAACAGCCAAAUAUUCAGAGAAAACUUAAAUGACUACAGAGGGGAGGCUAGCGAAAUUAAUUUCUGAAGAAAUGGAAAUGCUUCUGGAACCUCCCUCAAUAAGGCAAGCAUGAUAGAUAAACGUCUUAUCAAACCUAAUUUUUCCUUUAAAAAAUAAAUCUCCAUUUUCCGAUCAUCUUCACACCACUGCGCUUCCUAGAUAUAUAAAAUUGACCACCAAAACAAAGCCAAUACGCUGAAUAAUCUCAUAUCAUCGCACCAAUGGCGAGGUUUUUUUUUUUUCUGAUGAAGGCAAAGUUCAAGAGAUUCCCGAGAUCAAAUAGGAACAUAGUCUUGAAUGGAAUCCAACAGAGUAUCCAAUUGAACGGUUGCCAUAUGGGAUAGUCUUCCCCAAUGGAUGUGAGCCUCCUAAUUACAACAUAAAUUUCAAUUGGCACUGGUAGACACUUAAUAAAAUUAUGCAGUGAAAGUUGAGCCUUUGCUUAGAGGAGGAACUCCCGGGAUUGAGCAUCGUCAGUUGCGAAGUCGUCUUGCAUUUGAUCAUGAUUCCACUCUGAAACUGGUAAUGUUUCUAACCCGUCUCUUUUUAAAAAUAACAUUGAUGGGAUUGAAAGUAGCAGUAGUGAUGGAGGAGGUGAUCAAUACAGGGGAGAGGAUCAAAGAUGUGGAUGGCAAGGGUAAGUCUCCAACAGAGCAAGAUCAUGCAGGAAUUGAAACACCAAUUGCAUCUGCUGGCUUUUCUGAUGAUGAUGAGUAGGUCAUCUAUGUAACCCUUCCCCAAUUCAGUCUAUUUGUUGUUCAUGAGGGUAUUGUAGUGAUUUAUGAUAGGUUUGUGAUUGCUGGUGGAUGCCAAAUGGGAUUUGAUUCCUUUACAGUGCCAUCAAAGGGUUGCUUUUCCAUGUUAUUGCCGGAGAUGUAGAGGUAACUCUGCCUUUCACUAUUCCAAGAGUCAAUAAUCUAAGGGUAACCAUUACACCCAGAGAGCAAGCUCUCCCACUGCUGAUCCCAGCUCGUCUAGCCCACAUGACUGGGAGUCGUGCCCGGACCGUCACUCAAGGGACAGGGAACCAAAGUCGGAAGCAGUAUAUUGGUUUGAGGUGAAAAGGAGCUCAAGUAAAAUGAGGUAUUUUGGGUUAUGGGAAGUUCAAGUUUGGUAACUUUAUGAUAGAACUUGUGAUCAAAGACAAUAUCUGUUUUUUGGAAAGUUAAUUUACUGUUUUGUUUAGAUAUCCUUGUUUUUAUCUGAAUUAAAAAGGGUAAUCAUGUAGUUGAUUGAUGUUCUUUUGCUUAUAUCUUUUUGGGGUCUGAGAUUGAUUGUGAGUUUAAUGGUAGCGGGCCAACCUAAAUGUUUUUUAUUUUAUUUUUAAAUAUUUCCUCUAGGUAUUCUGAUAAAUCUUAACCGUAAAAAGCUUGUGGGUUAGGUAUUUAACAUGAUUCUAGUUUUGAGAUAUGUUAACGUGUUGAAUGGGUAUAACGAUUUUUUGGAAAUUGAAUCGAGAUUACAGUUGUAUCAUCCCUCAGAUAGCAGACAAUUUGGUAGGUUUUUGGGAAGAAUUAUGAUGAUGGAGACUUUCUCUGUGGGAUGUAGAAUUUUGAAUAACUGUACGCUGAAUUUUGAGGGCUCUGUGAUUGUCAUGCUUAUUACUUGCAGUGAUUCCAAAUGAGAUUUGAUUGCUUAGAAAUCCAUAGUAGUUAAGCUUACUUUGGUUGCUUUGAUUGUUGGACUUGUUGGUCUUGCGGUAAAUGAUUCAAAUACUGUAACUUAUGUGAUGUCUAUUCUGGUUGAAA
Molecule: long non-coding RNA, 2021 nt
Organism: Papaver somniferum (opium poppy)
Lineage: Eukaryota; Viridiplantae; Streptophyta; Magnoliopsida; Ranunculales; Papaveraceae
Exons: 2
Source: RefSeq, a predicted model, not a curated record